RNAcentral lists this long non-coding RNA (374 nucleotides) under Vigna radiata. RNAcentral's name for it is "long non-coding RNA (VRAD_LNC003721)". The record is from RNAcentral. Lineage: Eukaryota; Viridiplantae; Streptophyta; Magnoliopsida; Fabales; Fabaceae.
UUUUGUAAUUAUGGUUUGAGUGGGAAUGAAAUGAUGAGUGUGAAAGGUAGAGGAGAUGAAGAGAGGAAGAGAAAUAGGGUAGGUGAAGUAGGUGGCAUGGGGUACAAAAUGAAAUCUGCAAUGAACACAACACAAAAAUUGAGGAUGACACUGUUUCAAUCUUCAUGGAUAUGGCCCUUCUUCCUUUUUCUCCUUUGCUUUAUGUCUUCUGAACACAACAUCGUACGCAGCAGCUGCUCCUGCACCACCCACCCACCAGACACCAUUGUUCUUGUCCGUUUUACUGUUUUAACUUCUUCGUCAUGUAAUCAUUCAUUCUCCCACAAAUAUUUUAUCAUUUCUAUAUCCCUUUUAAGCGAUAAAAUAUAUGAAUG